CCUCUUUAAAUCUUUCCAGGUCUGUUCUCUUGGUCUUGCUAUUCUGAGCUCCAGCUGAUACACCCCUCCUCCACCAGCUGGCCCAGGUGGGGAAGGCGAGGCCAGCUCUCUCCAGACCUUGUGUGCAUUGGGGAAACCAGGUGGACUCUAGGUUGAAGCUGAGCUUCUGGGUUUGGACUUCCAGGACCUGUUUAUUUGCCACCACCAGUCUGCAUGCAACACUGACCAUCUCAUUUAACCACGGGAUGCAAGUGUUCACCAAUGAUAAAGUUGUCCUGGCUGAAACACCUGGUACCAGCUUCUACAUAGACAUCAACCGUCAUCCCGUCAUCCCUCCUGAACCCCACCAUGGCACCCCUGUUCAGCAGGAAGUAGUAAGAAAG
Cavia porcellus (domestic guinea pig) is the source of this 383-nucleotide long non-coding RNA. RefSeq lists it as uncharacterized. The record is from RefSeq and is a predicted model, not a curated record. Lineage: Eukaryota; Metazoa; Chordata; Mammalia; Rodentia; Caviidae. The transcript has 3 exons.